RNAcentral lists this long non-coding RNA (708 nucleotides) under Carica papaya (papaya). Its description in RNAcentral is "long non-coding RNA (CPAP_LNC009212)". The record is from RNAcentral. Lineage: Eukaryota; Viridiplantae; Streptophyta; Magnoliopsida; Brassicales; Caricaceae.
CUGCAAUUUAGGAGCCCAAAAACCUGUCUAGUGAAUAUAGACUUCAAAGGGAUAUUAUUUGGUACAUAUUUUUUGAACAUUGGAAUGUUCUAUAUACAUUGUAAUCAUGUCAUGCCAAUUAUAAAUAUUAUAGAACCCAAUGAAACAAGAGGAUAGGUAGCCACUGUCAUACUGAAUAAACCAGAUAAAAUCAACCGUGUAAAAUAUUAUAUUUGAGAGCGGAUGAUUUAGCACAUCAGGGUCAGCAUUCUGGUUAAAGGCAGAAAGGGUAACCACAGAGCAUUUUAUCAAGAUUCAAGUACAGCAUACGAUAAUCUGAGAGGCUAGCAGGGAACGUUGCCAGGCUAUUGAUAAUCUGAGGAAGAAGGUAAAUAUUCUGGUUAAUACUUGUUAGUUUUGCUGAAGAGCCGAAGAGACUUAUAAUCAUCUUUUGCUUUGGUGCCUUGUAAUUCACAAAUUAUAGAUUAUGGUUCAUGAUGAACUGCUUUGGAUCAGUUGGGUCGUGGCAGAAUUGAGGGAAGAAAUUUGAGCAUAGAAGGGCAUCAGUAGCGGAAGGAAGGAAGCAAGUGGAGAUUAUACUUCUUAUCAUACUUUGGAUAAUGUGGAAUUAGAAAAAUAGAAGAGCUUCCAAUGGGAUUUUAGGAUACUGAUGAUUUUGAUAUAUUUAAAAACAGAUGGUUCCAGACCCUGAGUUUUUUUUGCAAUGAG